UACGUAGGGGGCGAGCGUUGUCCGGAUUUAUUGGGCGUAAAGAGCGCGCAGGCGGUUCGUUAAGUCUGGCGUGAAAUCUCCCGGCUCAACUGGGAGGGGUCGUUGGAGACUGGCGGACUGGAGGGCAGGAGAGGGAAGUGGAAUUCCGGGUGUAGUGGUGAAAUGCGUAGAGAUCCGGAGGAACACCGGUGGCGAAGGCGGCUUCCUGGACUGCACCUGACGCUGAGGCGCGAAGGCUAGGGGAGCGAAC
This 250-nucleotide ribosomal RNA is filed under the name uncultured bacterium. RNAcentral describes it as "partial 16S ribosomal RNA". It matches the Rfam family "Bacterial small subunit ribosomal RNA", at positions 524 to 773 of the family's 1533-position model. The record is from RNAcentral.